Molecule: transfer RNA, 67 nt
Filed under: Marmota monax (woodchuck)
Lineage: Eukaryota; Metazoa; Chordata; Mammalia; Rodentia; Sciuridae
Description: tRNA.Gly
Source: RNAcentral
GGAUGUUGCUCAGUGGUAGAAUGUUUGCCUGCCAUGCACAAAGACCUGGGUUCAAUCUUCAGCACCA